RNAcentral lists this long non-coding RNA (685 nucleotides) under Homo sapiens (human). RNAcentral's name for it is "HSALNT0229781". Lineage: Eukaryota; Metazoa; Chordata; Mammalia; Primates; Hominidae. The record is from RNAcentral.
CCUUCUUCCUGGAGCAUUUGGGAACACUGAGGACAGCCAUCAUGUGCCUCUCCUUCCCCUCUAGUCUCUUCAGUGUGCAACAUCUCCAGUUCCUUUAGGUGCUCUUCUGGACUCUGAAUUAUGGUAAGGUGCUUGCCAGGACAGACGUACUCCAAAAGGCAUGACUCAUAAUAACCCCAAACUGCAAACAUCCCAAAGUCCACCAACAGUAAAUGGACAAAUUGUGAUACAUUCAUAUGACUGAAUACUACACAGCAAUGAAAACUACACCUAUUCCAAAUAUUGACGAAUCUCACAAUGUUAACAUGAAAAGAAUACAUGAUUCCAUUUAUAUAAAGUUCAAAUGCAGACAAAAUUAAAUGACACUGCUAGAAGUCAGAAUGGUGGUUACCUGUGGGAAGAAAGGAAGUAGCAGUGAUUGGGAGGAGUAUAAAGGAGAAGCUGGGGUCUUUCCAAGAAGGGAAACUUCCAGAAGAAGAAAAUAAAAAUUGUUUCCUUCUCUUGGAGCUCCUGGAUGAGGUGGAUGCUGGCUUCUGCUAUCAGUCAGAUGUCCAGUCUGGCUCUCACCAAGGGCCCAAGGGAAAGCAGGAGGAGAACAAUUAGACAGGAGUAUUUCACCACUAAAAAAGGCUUUUAUUACAAAAUGAAUUCUAAUAAAACCAGGCCUGGUCUUCAACCCCUCCCG